This 457-nucleotide ribosomal RNA is filed under the name uncultured bacterium. Its description in RNAcentral is "bacterial SSU rRNA". It matches the Rfam family "Bacterial small subunit ribosomal RNA", at positions 30 to 478 of the family's 1533-position model. The record is from RNAcentral.
UGAACGCUGGCGGAAUGCUUUACACAUGCAAGUCGAACGGCAGCAUAGAGAGCUUGCUCUCUGAUGGCGAGUGGCGAACGGGUGAGUAAUAUAUCGGAACGUGCCUAGUAAUGGGGAAUAACUAGCUGAAAGGUUAGCUAAUGCCGCAUACGACCUACGGGUGAAAGCAGGGGAUCUUCGGACCUUGCGUUAUUAGAGCGGCCGAUAUCUGAUUAGCUUGUUGGUGGGGUAAUGGCCUACCAAGGCGACGAUCAGUAGCUGGUCUGAGAGGACGAUCAGCCACACUGGAACUGAGACACGGUCCAGACUCCUACGGGAGGCAGCAGUGGGGAAUUUUGGACAAUGGGGGCAACCCUGAUCCAGCCAUUCCGCGUGAGUGAAGAAGGCCUUCGGGUUGUAAAGCUCUUUCGCAAGAGAAGAAAACUUGCUAUCUAAUAAAUAGUAAGCAUGACGGUAU